GAACGCUGGCGGCAUGCCUUACACAUGCAAGUCGAACGGCAGCACGGGAGCAAUCCUGGUGGCGAGUGGCGAACGGGUGAGUAAAGUAUCGGAACGUACCUUUCAGUGGGGGAUAACGUAGCGAAAGUUACGCUAAUACCGCAUAUUCUGUGAGCAGGAAAGCAGGGGAUCGCAAGACCUUGCGCUGAUUGAGCGGCCGAUAUCAGAUUAGCUAGUUGGUGGGGUAAAGGCCUACCAAGGCGACGAUCUGUAGCGGGUCUGAGAGGAUGAUCCGCCACACUGGAACUGAGACACGGUCCAGACUCCUACGGGAGGCAGCAGUGGGGAAUUUUGGACAAUGGGGGCAACCCUGAUCCAGCCAUGCCGCGUGAGUGAAGAAGGCCUUCGGGUUGUAAAGCUCUUUCGGCCGGGACGAAAUCGCACGGGCUAAUAUCCUGUGUGGAUGACGGUACCGGAAUAAGAAGCACCGGCUAACUACGUGCCAGCAGCCGCGGUAAUACGUAGGGUGCGAG
This 512-nucleotide ribosomal RNA is filed under the name uncultured bacterium. RNAcentral describes it as "bacterial SSU rRNA". It matches the Rfam family "Bacterial small subunit ribosomal RNA", at positions 31 to 538 of the family's 1533-position model. The record is from RNAcentral.